Molecule: unclassified non-coding RNA, 434 nt
Filed under: soil metagenome
Description: partial contains 5.8S ribosomal RNA, internal transcribed spacer 2, and large subunit ribosomal RNA
Rfam family: 5.8S ribosomal RNA (bases 1-120)
Source: RNAcentral
GAUGAAGAACGUAGCGAAAUGCGAUACGUAAUGUGAAUUGCAGAAUUCAGUGAGUCAUCGAAUCUUUGAACGCAUAUUGCGCUCUUUGGUAUUCCGAAGAGCAUGCUUGUUUGAGUAUCAGUAAACACCUCAAAGCUUUUGGAUUUUUUAAUCGAAAAGCUUUGGACUUGAGCAAUCCCAACACCAAUCUUUUUGAGAUCGGUGGCGGGUUGCUUGAAAUGCAGGUGCAGCUGGACAUUCUCCUGAGCUAAAAGCAUAUUCAUUUAGUCCCGUCAAACGGAUUAUUACUUUUGCUGCAGCUAACAUAAAGGGAGUUUGACCGUAUUGGCUGACUGAUGCAGGAUUUCACAAGGGUCGGCAACGAUUCUUGUUAAACUCGAUCUCAAAUCAAGUAAGACUACCCGCUGAACUUAAGCAUAUCAAUAAGCGGAGGA